AUGGCCGUCUCUGCGAUUGGGUUUGAGGGAUAUGAGAAGCGCCUGGAGAUCACCUUCUCUGAAGCGCCAGUCUUCACUGACCCCAAUGGCAGGGGAUUGCGUGCUCUCUCUCGUGCCCAGAUCGACUCGGUUCUUGAUCUUGCCAAGUGCACCAUUGUAUCUGAGCUCUCUAAUGACAAGAUUGACUCGUAUGUCCUCUCUGAAUCAAGCCUCUUCAUCUACCCGUACAAGGUUGUGAUCAAGACCUGCGGUUACACCAAGCUCCUGCUGGCCAUUCCAAGGAUUCUUGAGCUUGCUGAGGAGUUGUCCCUGCCACUUGCUGCUGUGAAGUACUCCCGUGGGACAUUCAUAUUCCCUGAGGCACAGCCUUCUCCACACAAGAACUUCUCUGAUGAGGUUGCCUUCCUGAAUGGCUACUUUGGUGGACUCAAGUCUGGCGGCAAUGCCUAUGUCAUUGGUGAUCCUGCAAAGCCAGGCCAGAAGUGGCAUGUCUACUAUGCCACCCAGCAGCCUGAGCAGCCCAUGGUCAACCUUGAGAUGUGCAUGACUGGUCUGGACAAGAAGAAAGCUUCUGUCUUCUUCAAGACCUCUGCUGAUGGCUACACAUCUUGUGCCAAGGAGAUGACCAAGCUCUCUGGCAUCUCUGAAAUAAUCCCGGAGAUGGAGAUCUGUGACUUUGAUUUCGAGCCAUGUGGCUACUCCAUGAACGCCAUCCAUGGCUCUGCUUUCUCCACCAUUCAUGUCACUCCUGAGGACGGCUUCAGCUAUGCUAGCUAUGAGGUCAUGGGGUUGGACCCUGCCUCCAUGGCCUAUGGUGACCUGGUCAAGAGGGUGCUGAGAUCCUUUGGCCCGUCUGAAUUCUCUGUUGCUGUGACCAUCUUUGGCGGUCGCAACCUUGCUGGCACCUGGGGGGAGAGGCUGAAUGUUGGGGUCUAUGAUAGUACCAACAUGGUCGUCCAGGAGCUGCCUGACGGGGGCGCUCUCAUCUACCAGAGCUUCACUGCUGUCGGCGAAGACUCCACCGGGUCACCAAGAUCUGUCCUGAACUGCAACGUUCAUGGCAAUUUAGAGAGCGGCUCCAAGAUGGAUGCUUUCCUUUGCUGGGAAGACGAUGCUGCGCAGGAGAAGGAUGAGAGGGGGGCUGUUAAGAGGAUGAAGAGCUGCUGA
RNAcentral lists this ribosomal RNA (1167 nucleotides) under Triticum aestivum (bread wheat). RNAcentral's name for it is "partial small subunit ribosomal RNA". Lineage: Eukaryota; Viridiplantae; Streptophyta; Magnoliopsida; Poales; Poaceae. The record is from RNAcentral.